RNAcentral lists this ribosomal RNA (255 nucleotides) under Fusobacterium necrophorum. RNAcentral describes it as "partial 16S ribosomal RNA". It matches the Rfam family "Bacterial small subunit ribosomal RNA", at positions 120 to 374 of the family's 1533-position model. Lineage: Bacteria; Fusobacteriati; Fusobacteriota; Fusobacteriia; Fusobacteriales; Fusobacteriaceae. The record is from RNAcentral.
AAGAACUUGCCUCUUAGACCGGGACAACAUCUGGAAACGGAUGCUAAUACCGGAUAUUAUGGUUUUUUCGCAUGGAGGAAUCAUGAAAGCUGGAUGCGCUAAGAGAGAGCUUUGCGUCCCAUUAGCUAGUUGGUGAGGUAACGGCCCACCAAGGCAAUGAUGGGUAGCCGGCCUGAGAGGGUGAACGGCCACAAGGGGACUGAGACACGGCCCUUACUCCUACGGGAGGCAGCAGUGGGGAAUAUUGGACAAUGG